GACGAACGCUGGCGGCGUGCUUAACACAUGCAAGUCGAACGGACAGGCCCUGCUUUUGUGGGGUGCUCGAGUGGCGAACGGGUGAGUAACACGUGAGUAACCUGCCCUUGACUUUGGGAUAACUUCAGGAAACUGGGGCUAAUACCGGAUAGGAGCUCCUGCUGCAUGGUGGGGGUUGGAAAGUUUCGGCGGUUGGGGAUGGACUCGCGGCUUAUCAGCUUGUUGGUGGGGUAGUGGCUUACCAAGGCUUUGACGGGUAGCCGGCCUUGGAGGGUGACCGGCCACAUUGGGACUGAGAUACGGCCCAGAAGCCAACGGGAGGCAGCGGUGGGGAAUAUUGCACAGUGGGCGGAAGCCUGAUGCAGCAACGCCGCGUGCGGGAUGACGGCCUUCGAGUUGUAAACCGCUUUCGCCUGUGACGAAGCGUGAGUGACGGUAAUGGGUAAAGAAGCACCGGCUAACUACGUG
Molecule: ribosomal RNA, 468 nt
Filed under: uncultured bacterium
Lineage: Bacteria
Description: partial 16S ribosomal RNA
Rfam family: Bacterial small subunit ribosomal RNA
Source: RNAcentral